This 204-nucleotide ribosomal RNA is filed under the name Clostridioides difficile. RNAcentral's name for it is "partial 23S ribosomal RNA". It matches the Rfam family "Bacterial large subunit ribosomal RNA", at positions 255 to 460 of the family's 2925-position model. The record is from RNAcentral. Lineage: Bacteria; Bacillati; Bacillota; Clostridia; Peptostreptococcales; Peptostreptococcaceae.
GAACGCGGAUUAGCAACAACCAAUAAAGUUUUCUUUAUGGGGGUUGCGGACAUAUCAUAACGAAGAGGUAUCGUAAUUGAAGAGGUUUGGAAAGACCCACCACAGAAGGUAAUAGUCCUGGAUGUUAAACGAGAAGACUUUAGAUAUGAGCCAGAGUACCACGGGACACGUGAAACCCUGUGGGAAGCAGGAGGGACCACCCUC